UGAUCCACUACCAGAGGCCCCAUAGAUUAACCAGACCUCCAAACUGGGUCUGGUCUCUUUCUUCAUGAGUUUUAGUGGAAUGUGCUUAUAUCGGCCAAUUGCGGACAGAUGCUGGUAUGGUGAAAUGAAGCUUCUACUCACUGGAAGAUCAACUUCUAAUCCUAAUGGCUAUGAGCCAGAAUCCAUUCCAGGGGCCACUUCUGAGAGUUGCUUCCACCAUGUGAGCUUGGAAUGACAAGGUCAAAGGCUGACAUCAGAUGUCUUCUUGAUCUCUCUUCACUUACUGAAGUAGCUGCGCACUUCUCUGGGAAUCUAAACUAGUCUACUGUCUGUCAUGACUUCUCAGCCCUUGGGCUAAGUUAUCUGGAUACCCUGACAGAGCUCCUGGGCAGCUUCCUUCUUGACUCUCAGAAUACCUCCUGGGAUAGGAUGACCUCCUCCCCUUCUGAGCAUGUGGCAUGUGACAGGCUCGUCAUAAAAUGCACUAAAUGAAUGGACAGAUGCCAUGUCUUUUAAAGAGACAAGAAAAAAAAAAGUGUUGUUCUCAGAGAACCACGCUGUUUAUCUUGUCUCCGGGGCAACGGAGACAAUACUCAUUCAGAGAGAAGGAGAGAAAUGGAGACAGUCAUACAGAAUGGCUCCUGAGUUCCGACUAAGUCACUUAACACAUAAAACAAAUUCGGUUUUCCUAAACAGAAGAGUAGCUACCAAAGCCAAAACCAAAGGGAAUUAAGUUGUUUAUCUGAUUGAAACUGAUCAUGUUGGAGGCUGAGAAGAUGGUGCAAUUGAGGAUUUCUGUGAGCGUUCAACCCUGUUGAUGCUUGCUGCAUGGAGACUUAUCCACUUCUACCUCUGAGAGUCAUGCUGGAGUCCCGGAUUGGUCUUUUCUCUCUUUGGAGAGCUGAGUGAGCUCCAGGGAAUAUACAGGAAGAGCCUUUCCUAUGUUCACACAGGGCAGUGUUAAAGACUAUGUUAGAAUGGGCAUUAGGAGCCUCAACGUAAGUCCACACCAUUCUAAGAAGUUCAAAAGUAUUCUAUUUAUUCUUCACAAUAACCCUAGAGAACAGUCUUAUCCCCUUCUUUUCACAGAUGCAGUACAGAGAGACCGUACUAAGAAGUGGCACAGCUAAGUUCUGUGGCCUUGGUCCCAUAACCAUUGAUGGUGGGACAGAUGUUAUAUAGGCAGGAGAUGGAGGUAAUGCUCCUGGGCAGGGUGUUGUGGAAUACACUUUCCAUCCCAGGUCAGGACAGAGGCCAGCGUAUGAGGCUGUUUUGUGUAAAGCUGUAAGUGUAAAAGAUACAUGGGUGUUUGCCAAACUUAGAACAGGCAUAGACUUGAAACUUCUACUUCUCCCAGUGUUAAAUAGUGAACCAAACAGUUGUUCUUGGCCUAACCCCCGUUUCCUGCUUUUCAGUUGGAUAAAGAUCAAGGCUCUCUUGAUUUAGGAUUACAGGAUCAAGCGACAAGACAAGGCCUGUUCAGCCAUCAGAAGCUUUCCAGCGACACUGCGAGGACCACCUGGGGAAGGGUGCCAUGUCAGUAUCAAUAGCUCUAGAAGAUUCUGUGGAGCAAGGAGCUCCUUCCUGUCUGUGAAUGUCUGCUCAGGCUACCAACUGUGGAGUGGCUGUUACAUCAGGUGUUGUUCUGAACACUUGGGUACAGCAAGAGUGAAACUAUGGCCAAUCCCUGUGUUUAUGGAGCUUACAUGAGGGCUGACUGCUGAACUACAAAUACCAUGCUUAGCUUCUAAAGCUGCAGGCUGGAAAAGCCACACCACGAAACGUUGGCAGAGGUCAGGCUUGUUUUGGUAAGUUCUAUAGAGCCCUGUGAGUUCCAUAUGAAUUGGUGUUCAAAUCUCUCUUAGAUGUUCCACCCCUAUUGCAUCUAUGUAUGGGGGUGUCUGAGAACCAUGAGCUCUUUAUUGAAGACAAUGAAUCUGUCCUUUGUUAUUGAGUUCUUAUGCCUCCUGGAGCAAAAAUUAUCCCUGUUUCCGUGGGGACCAGGCUCUCAGUGCACGUGGUGGUCUGCUUCAGUGUUAUGCACAUUGCAGAUGGGCAGCCCUGUGUUUUCCAUUCAUGCAGUACAGUUUGAGCUAUAUUCAACCGAGGACGGGAACUGUGGAGAGACGCUCCAAGCAAAGGUUUCUCUUUGAUGUUCACUGUGGGCACCGCUUAAAAUCAAACACCGUGCAAAGCCGCCUGCCUUUCUUUGUUCUUGGCUCCUCAAAGAACUGGCUUAUUUAAAUGCCUCCCAAACAAUGAGUGGAUCAAUGAAAAGAUCCCAAGACCAGGACUUAGGAAAACUGGUUUCAGAUCUUGACUCUGUGGAUAAGUAGCUGGAGUCCUGGUGCGCAGUCUCUAGGUCUCUAUCUCUGUCUUAAGUAAGAAGAUAAACUCUCAAUUC
RNAcentral lists this long non-coding RNA (2404 nucleotides) under Cricetulus griseus (Chinese hamster). RNAcentral's name for it is "lncRNA (ENSCGRG00015002866.2)". Lineage: Eukaryota; Metazoa; Chordata; Mammalia; Rodentia; Cricetidae. The record is from RNAcentral.